GUCUGUUCUGCCCGUUGAAUGAAAAUUUGAAAGGCCGCAGUAUCUUGACUGUGCAAAGGUAGCAUAAUCACUAGUUUUUUAAUUGAAGGCUUGAAUGAAUGAUCUGACAAGAACUAAACUGUCUCUUUUGAUUAAAUCGAAGUUUAUUUUUAAGUGAAAAAGCUUAAAUGAUUAAAAAAGACGAUAAGACCCUAUAAAUCUUUAUGUAAAUUAGUUUUUAAUUCUAAAUUUAAGGUUAAAAAAGUUAAAAAGUUAAUUCAUUGUGCUGGGGCGGCAGGGAUAUAAAAAAUAAACUGUCUUUAUAAAAAACAAAAAUUCUUGUAUUAUUAUAGAUCCUAAUUAUGGAUUUAAAGAAUAAGUUACUUUAGGGAUAACAGCAUAAUUUCUUUUGAGAGUUCAAAUCGAAAAAGAAGCUUGUGACCUCGAUGUUGAAUUAAGGAAUCCU
RNAcentral lists this ribosomal RNA (445 nucleotides) under Petrolisthes edwardsii. RNAcentral's name for it is "partial 16S large subunit ribosomal RNA". It matches the Rfam family "Bacterial large subunit ribosomal RNA", at positions 1852 to 2548 of the family's 2925-position model. The record is from RNAcentral. Lineage: Eukaryota; Metazoa; Arthropoda; Malacostraca; Decapoda; Porcellanidae.